GAUGAACGCUAGCGACAGGCCUAACACAUGCAAGUCGAGGGGCAGCAUAAAGGUAGCAAUACUUUGGUGGCGACCGGCGCACGGGUGAGUAACACGUAUGCAACCUACCUGUAAGAGGGGAAUAACCCGGAGAAAUUCGGACUAAUACCGCAUAAUACUGAUUAUCUGCAUGGAUUGAUCAGUUAAACAUUUAUGGCUUACAGAUGGGCAUGCGUAUGAUUAGAUAGUUGGUAGGGUAACGGCCUACCAAGUCAACGAUCAUUAGGGGUUCUGAGAGGAAGGUCCCCCACACUGGUACUGAGACACGGACCAGACUCCUACGGGAGGCAGCAGUAGGGAAUCUUCCGCAAUGGACGAAAGUCUGACGGAGCAACGCCGCGUGAGUGAUGAAGGUUUUCGGAUCGUAAAACUCUGUUGUUAGGGAAGAACAAGUAGCCGUUCGAAAGGGCGGCACCUUGACGGUACC
Molecule: ribosomal RNA, 466 nt
Filed under: uncultured bacterium
Lineage: Bacteria
Description: bacterial SSU rRNA
Rfam family: Bacterial small subunit ribosomal RNA
Source: RNAcentral